UGUUAGGUUGAUGCAAAAGUAAUUGUGGUUUUUGCCAUUGAAAGUAAUAGCAAAAACCACAAUUAUUUUUGCACCAACCUAAUA
This 84-nucleotide microRNA precursor is filed under the name Nomascus leucogenys (northern white-cheeked gibbon). RNAcentral describes it as "mir-548 microRNA precursor family". It matches the Rfam family "mir-548 microRNA precursor family". The record is from Rfam by way of RNAcentral. Lineage: Eukaryota; Metazoa; Chordata; Mammalia; Primates; Hylobatidae.